CCUGGCGGCACUAGCGCGGUGGUCCCACCUGACCCCAUGCCGAACUCAGAAGUGAAACGCCGUAGCGCCGAUGGUAGUGUGGGGUCUCCCCGGA
Molecule: ribosomal RNA, 94 nt
Filed under: Klebsiella pneumoniae
Lineage: Bacteria; Pseudomonadati; Pseudomonadota; Gammaproteobacteria; Enterobacterales; Enterobacteriaceae
Source: RNAcentral